GACAGAGGGUGCAAACGUUGCUCGGAAUUACUGGGCGUAAAGCGCGUGUAGGCGGGCAUGCAAGUCGAGUGUGAAAUCCCUGGGCUCAACCCAGGAACUGCAUUCGAAACUGCAUGUCUAGAGUGUCGGAGAGGGAAGCGGAAUUCCUGGUGCAGAGGUGAAAUUCGUAGAUAUCAGGAGGAACACCGGUGGCGAAGGCGGCUUCCUGGACGAUUACUGACGCUGAGACGCGAAAGCGUGGGGAGCAAACAGG
Molecule: ribosomal RNA, 253 nt
Filed under: uncultured bacterium
Lineage: Bacteria
Description: partial 16S ribosomal RNA
Rfam family: Bacterial small subunit ribosomal RNA
Source: RNAcentral